GCCCUAACAAUCAUCUUCCAAACACCUGUGCACAUUUUUGAGGGAGUUUCGAGUUUUAUUGCCGUUUUUGGUGAUUUUCUUGUAUUCCCUUGAAUUAUUAUACGCUGUUAACAAUGAUGAACGUGCUCUGUGCCGCAAGGCCAUUAAUAUAAUACAACUUUUAACAACGGAUCUCUUGGCUCUCGCAUCGAUGAAGAACGCAGCGAAAUGCGAUAAGUAAUGUGAAUUGCAGAAUUCAGUGAAUCAUCGAAUCUUUGAACGCACCUUGCGCUCCCUGGUAUUCCGGGGAGCACGCCUGUUCGAGUGUCGCGAAAUUUCUCAAGCUUGGAUGGCCUUUUUGUCUGUCCUUAGCCUUGGUUGUUGGGCUUUGCCGUGUCCUUUGUUGGGACGGCUGGCCUUAAAAGCAUUAGCUGAUCCUCGUGUGGCACUGGUUCUACUCAGCGUGAUAACAGUCUGAUCGCUGAGGACAUCUUUUGGGAUGGCCAGUUCUCAUUUGGGUUGCUUCCAAACUUGGUUUUGCAG
This 522-nucleotide small RNA is filed under the name uncultured fungus. Its description in RNAcentral is "eukaryotic LSU rRNA". The stretch from base 156 to 309 matches the Rfam family "5.8S ribosomal RNA". Lineage: Eukaryota; Fungi. The record is from RNAcentral.